Long non-coding RNA from Passer domesticus (house sparrow), 2576 nucleotides. RefSeq lists it as uncharacterized. NCBI's taxonomy places the organism in Eukaryota, Metazoa, Chordata, Aves, Passeriformes, Passeridae. The transcript is spliced from 4 exons. The record is from RefSeq and is a predicted model, not a curated record.
AUUAUUUAUUCUAUGGAUUUUUACGCUCAUUUGCCUCUACUGCAAUAACAAAGUUUUGACUGUUUAAUUUUCAUUCAAGUAUCUAUAUUUCAUUUGUUAAGCAAACAUAGCAGAGCUUCUGCGUUGUAACCCUGUGUGGUUUUAUAUUUCUAUAUACACACACAGAGCUGAAGAAGCCAAACUUACCUUUGGCAUCUAUAUGUGAGGGAGCUUCAGUAUGUUAUUCAUUAUAUGUGAGUCCAUUUAAUUUUUCUUUCUCCUGUAGACUAUUUGCAAAUAUUCAUUGUGGUAAAUCCUUCCUCCCCAUACUCUUGAACACUCAAUACAGCUAAACUUUUGGAUGGCAUGAAAUGAGGAUGUAAGUGGUUUGUAUGAGCCUAAUCUCCAUGCUGGAGGUUUAGAAGGAGAGGGGUGAUAGGAAAAAGACCUAAAUAAGGCUUGAAGAGUUUUUUUCAUAUGGUGUGCAAAUUUUGUAUGCAAUGCCAUUUGUCCCCAACUGUCUUGAAAUUUCUAAAACUGUUAUUUCUACUUCCUUAAGUAGGGUCCAGUCAGAGUACAGAUGCCUAAUUGUUCUGGCACACCUGUUCAGGUCCAUAGUAAUUUUCCUGAUUUGAUCAGUUUUGGGAUUUAUUCAGUUAUCUACCUUGGAUAUCUGAGGGAUUCAGAGCAUGGAGAACAAGGUCCAUUUUGGAGCCUUCACAGAGGUAAGCUGCUGCUUCUUCCUUUCUUCAGGGAAGCUGUGCUUGCAUUGAAACAUCUGGAGAUUAUGCACAGAGGUAAGAGACAGAAUGGCUUUUCUCUAAAGUCUUUUCAUUGUUUCUAGUUUGCCUGCUCAAAGAGGUGAAGAGAGGGAAGGCCCAUGGUAGUGACUUUCAGGGAACUUGCAGAAGAGCCAAAGCUCUGUUCCCUAAUGCUACAAAGCCUAAAAAUCUUCAGACUUUGACUCCAUAUUCCCCCUGUCUUGAGGGGUCUUCUUGUCCCUCACAGGAGAGAAGGAGAAGUCAGGUUAUGUUAAUCAAAACCACUAACAGGAAAAUGCUUCCUUUUCCCAAACCAGACAAAAUAAAAAGUGACCUUUUUUUUAAAUUUUUUUUUUUAGCAUCCUGGCAGUUGUAUUGCCACCGUCCUAAGAGAAAGUGAUACAAACUCCUGGGGCUGAUUCUGUCAGAGUCACCAAUUUUCCAAACAACCUCAACCUCAGAAUUUAAGUAAGGCUUAGAACAUUGAUCAUCUCUCACUCACUGUGAAAAAACAUCCUUGCUUUGUAUGCUACAGUGUCCAAUCGAGACUUCGCUGGCAGAAAUAAUUACCUUCUCCCAUCGGAAGUUGAAGAGGACUCCAACUAAAAUCACUAAAUCCUUGUACCAGCUCAUGCAAAGAUGGACUUUAUACAUUCCUUGAAGAGCCUGGCUUUGUGGUACAAACUGGUGGGGGUGGUGGUCACGGAAGAGCAAAGGCAUCAGUAGCUUUCAAUACUAAAGCCUAGCACAAGGAAAGCAGAAGGGUAUCAAGGCCAUGUCUCCAAACAUCUUGGGAUCCACCCAGCUUUAUGAAGGGUAUCAAAAAAAGAUAUUGUGAUCAUAGGUGCAGAUUUGCUGGAGGAAACCAGUGUUCACUCUGCUUUGUUGGAUCUGUCACUGUCUCCAGCAGGAAACAUAGCUGUAACUCAGGAAGGGUUUCAAUUAUCUUCUUGUUCACUGGAAAUAGAAGAAACCUCAAGCUGACAUGUUUCUCAAGAAGGAUUCCAAGGGAUGCAUACUUCAUACCACAGAACCACAGAAACCAGAAAGAAGGAAAAAAAAAAAAAAAGAAAGAAAAAUUUCUAACUGACUCUAAAGUCUUCACUGUCACAAAUUAAAGGGAAGCAGAACAUUAUUAGCUUUGUUAUCUAUUUACUAGCACCUUACUGUCACCCAUGUUUUAAAACUGCAGUAUCAAACACGCUGGGGCACUUUGCUGUCAUGCUAAUGAGCUGGCUUGUCACAUGUAUCAUAUAUCUCACACUUACAAGAAAGAAAAAAGACACACGGUUUGUAAAUAUGUGCACAACCUACUGCAGGAACACAGGGACCUCAAGGAAAUGUACACUGUGGAUGACUACAGAGACAUCACAGUUUACCACCUGAACUGUCUCCCCUGGGUUUUAACAAUGGGAUUACAUUUCAAAAACUGUCUUCUUUAAAUGAGUAACUACAAAACACUGUAACACUCUUCUUUUUCCUGCAUGCUAGCAUCACCAUUCUCUGAAAGCAGAGAAAGCUCUGCCUUCUUGCAGCUUUUCUGAAUGCAUUGUCCAGGGAUAAAUCUGAAGCCUUCUUGAAGUUAAUAAUCUGUUACUUCUGUACUUCUUCUAAGCUUCUGAACAGCUUAGGAGCAAGUAUGAGCCAAGGAAUUGUUUAAUAUGUAAGUAAGACAAAUAUUGGAAAGUGUUUUCAGGUUAAUCAAUAUAACUUUAAAAAAAAAGCCAGACUGUUCCUCUAGUGCAGAAUUUCCCCAUUGUUGCUGCUAUUCAUAUGCUGCUGUAGACAGAAAAAUAAAAAGUGUUCCCUCUGCUAGUUUUUUAAUUUUAGAUAUUU